AAGACCUGAUGUUUCAGACCCACACGAGUUAUCUCGGACUCACCAACAUGUACAGUCCCCAUUAUCUCUGAAUGUAUACGCCCACUUGUGCGUGCGCAAUCUGAAGCGUUUCAAACAUGCGCAGUACCGGAGGCAAAGGAGAGCCGGAGGAAUCGGAUGAGGAGCAGGCGCGAUAAGGAUUUGAAAGGUGAAAAUUAGAAUUCGAAUCAAUGUCAGCAGAGGAAUUUGGCAGAGUUGAACCUCAGACCAAACUGUGAAAGAGUAACUCGAUUGAUGAGGAUCUGAAUAUUAUCAGCAUCUGAAUGUGGUAGCGUUCAGGAAGUUGGAGCAUUUGCAGUGAGUGAACUCAAAUCUCACUGCAGAUUCUAACGGAAAUGUUGAAUUCAUCAUGUCUUGACUUUCAUGAGGCUUUGAUCAUGGAAGCCAAAACCAGUGUUCGCACUGAGAAACCAUGGAAAUGUGAGGAAUGUGAGAAGGAAUUCAAAUAUCCAUCUUCCCUGGAAAGUCAUCAGUGUGGUCACACUGGAGAGAGACCGUUCACCAGCCCUGACUGCGGAAAGGGAUUCAUUUGAUCACCCAGUCUGCUGACACACCAGCAAGUUCAUAUAAGAGAGAGGCAGUUCAUCUGCUCUGUGUGCGAAAGGAUUCACUCACUCAUCCCAUCUGCUGACUCACCAGCACGUUCACACUGGGGAGAGACCUUUAAAAUAUCCACACUCUAGGAAUUGCGAGAAAAGUUCGAGAGAACUAAUAUCUCACAUUAGUGAGAAACCAUUCAGGUGCUCUCACUGUGCGACUCGGUUCAAGCGAUCAUCUAAACUCCCAAUACACCAGCGCAUUUACACUGGGGAGAGACAGUUCAUCUAUUCCAUAUGUAGGAAGCAUUUCACUCACUUAUCUGACCUGGUGAAACACCAGAAAGUUCAUUCUAAUGAGAGACCUUUUCAAUGUUCAGACUGCAGGAAAUGCUGUAAAUGUUCUGGAGAACUGAUGUCCCAUCAACAUGUUCACACUGUUGAGAGCCCAAUAAGAUACUCUCAUGAUGGGACUGGGUACAGAUGAAUAUGUAACCUCGCUGUACACCAAUGCAGCCACACAGGGGAGAUACCAUUCACUUGCUUCAUGUGCAGGAAGAGAUUCAUCAGAUCAUUGUACCUGCUGAAACACGAGCAAGUUCAUUCUGGCCAGAGAAUGUGGGAAAUGGUAUAAAGAUUCUGAACAAUUAGCCCCGUGAACUUGUUCACAUUAUUGAAAUAACUUUGAAUGUUCAGAUUGCAGAAAAUGCUUUAAAAGUUCUCAACAAUUGAUGAUCCAUCAAUGUGUUGACACAGGUGAGAGACCAUUCCAGUGCUUUCACUUACAAACUGGGUUAAGGUGAUCAUUUCACCUCAUUGUAUGCCAGUGAUGUCAGACUGGAGAGAGGUUGUUUGCCUGCAUUGAAUGUGGGAAGGGAUUCACUCAAACACCCGACCCCCUGAAACAUGAGUGAAUUCACAAAUAACCACAGUGGUUGCAUUUUGCUAUGAGUUAUGUUCGGUAAUGAACACAUUUCAUUGUUGUCUGUUUCUACUGAUGUUAAAUUGACUUUCCUGAAAAUAUAGGUUUUUAUUUUCUGGAUAAGCGUCAAAUAAAUUAGCUUUGUAUUUAACACAAAACUUACAUUUUGUUUUCAAAUGUCCCAAGCACAAGUUAGUUUCUUUUGGCCUUCUUAACGAGAGGAUUCAGAUACAGGAGCAGGAACGUCCUUCUGUGAUUCCACAGGUCUCAGUGAGCCCAUAGCUGGAUUCUUGUGUGCAAUUUUGGUCUCAUUAUUCUUAUGGAAGAAUGCUUUGGCUGUGAAGGGAGUACAGUGAAGGUUGACCAGAAUGAUUCCUGUGAUGACAGGACUGACAUGUGAAGAAAGACUGGAUCAGUUAGGACUAUAUUCACUCGUGUUCAGAAGAGUGGCCUUUUAUAGAAACAAAAGAAUUCUGACAGGGCCACACAGGAUAAACACAGGAAGGCUGUUCUCAAUAAACAGGGUGUCCAGAACCAUGGGUCAGACUUUUAGGAUAUGGGCAUACAUGGGAGCAUAAAGAUGGGAUCCUAGUGUCUCUUUAACCUGUCAUCGACAAGCUAUUUAGGACUGAGAUAAGAAGAAAUUUCCUCACCUCUGGAAUUAUCUGCCACAGAAAGCACCUGAAGCCAAAACAUUGAAUGUAUUUAAGAAGGAUUUGGAUAUAAUCCUUGGGGUGAAAGGGAUCAGAGUAUGGAGAGAAAGCAGGAACAGAUGGAUGAUCAGCCAUGAUCAUGUUAAAUGGUAGAGCAGGCUUGAAUGACCAAACGGCCGACCUCUAUUUUCUUUGUCAAUGGUUAUUAUUUUCCCUAAUACUUUUUCUCUUCUGAUCAUUAUUAUGGUUCUUUCCUCCCCUUUUUGCUGCUGAACUACUUAAUUUUUUUGUAAUGUUGUAAGUGUUCCCUACUGUGAAGAUUGAUUAAAAUUAUUUGUUUAACUCCCCUGCUCUUUGCUGGCUCCCCAUUAUCACUUACAAACCUCAUUCUCUAAGGGGCCGAUGUUCACAGUUCUCUUCUCUUUUUAGCUUUUGAAACACUUCAUUGACCACAGUAUGUUUUCUCCUGUUAUGGUUAUUUCCUCCCCUUUUUGCUGCUUGGCUAUUUUUGUGUAUUUUAAAGUUGCAAGAAUGCCCUGAAUGUGAAUAUUAUUGAAAAGUAUUUGUUUAACUCUCCUGCCCUUUCCU
Molecule: long non-coding RNA, 2738 nt
Organism: Stegostoma tigrinum
Lineage: Eukaryota; Metazoa; Chordata; Chondrichthyes; Orectolobiformes; Stegostomatidae
Exons: 3
Source: RefSeq, a predicted model, not a curated record